This is a non-coding RNA of Caenorhabditis tropicalis, 88 nucleotides long. NCBI's taxonomy places the organism in Eukaryota, Metazoa, Nematoda, Chromadorea, Rhabditida, Rhabditidae. The record is from Rfam.
UGUCCACUGAUGACAACCUUACAUACACCAUUACGAUCUCUGAAGACUUCGUGCUGAACAUGUUUCCAUGCAACACCAACUGAGGACG